UGGGGAAUCUUGCGCAAUGGCCGCAAGGCUGACGCAGCGACGCCGCGUGGGGGAGGAAGGGCUUCGGCUCGUAAACCCCUGUUGCCCGGGGCGAACAUCCCUUUUCGAGGGGACUGACGGUACCGGGUGAGGAAGCACCGGCUAACUCCGUGCCAGCAGCCGCGGUAAUACGGAGGGUGCGAGCGUUGUCCGGAAUCACUGGGCGUAAAGGGCGCGUAGGUGGCCGAGCAAGGUCGCGGUGAAAGCCCGGGGCUCAACCCCGGGUCGGCCGUGGCAACUACUUGGCUUGAGCACUGUAGGGGCGGGUGGAAUUCCGGGUGUAGCGGUGGAAUGCGUAGAGAUCCGGAAGAACACCGGUGGCGAAGGCGGCCCGCUGGGCAGGAAGGCUCGCAAGAGCCGGCUGACACUGAGGCGCGACAGCGUGGGGAGCAAACAGG
RNAcentral lists this ribosomal RNA (437 nucleotides) under Bacillota bacterium. RNAcentral's name for it is "Firmicutes bacterium partial 16S ribosomal RNA". It matches the Rfam family "Bacterial small subunit ribosomal RNA", at positions 355 to 776 of the family's 1533-position model. The record is from RNAcentral. Lineage: Bacteria; Bacillati; Bacillota.